AACAGGGGAUCAAGGAGGGGGCAUCAGGAAUCGCCUGGGGACCCCCUGGAGACUGGCGGAAGCGGUGCCCUUGGGCGCAGCAAACAGAGAAGGGAGCACAGGCUAAGACAGAGACAGUCCUGGGCGCUAGAGAGCAGGAGCCCCCGGCGCGGCAGGGAAAGGAACGUAGAGCCUGCGCGCUCGGGGAAUGAGCUUACUGCCGCUCGCUAGGGUGGCGCGCAUUGGGGCUCUAGAAAAGAGGGUUGAGAAGCCCCGGGCAAGUGCCUAGGAAGGUCAGAGGAGUCAGCCAAGUCCACGGAACAACUUCCCCGGGUUGGAGAGGAAACGCACCCUGGGAGCUGGAAAGAAGAGGAAAGCUAGCCUGGGGGAAGCUUGAUCAGGGCUCUGAGUACCACGAGGAGUGCAGAGGAGGUGCUGAUGAUUGCGGGGAGAGCUCUGAGAGCCCGAAAAAGAUGGGGAAACUGAAGCCCUAGAGGAAAAGAAGACUAAAUGUAUUACCAUCUGACCCACUUCCUGGCUAGCCUGUUCACCUAUCUGCUGUUCUUCACUGAUGUGCAAUCCAAGACUCAGAGAAGCUGGAGAAUUU
Molecule: long non-coding RNA, 586 nt
Organism: Symphalangus syndactylus (siamang)
Lineage: Eukaryota; Metazoa; Chordata; Mammalia; Primates; Hylobatidae
Source: RefSeq, a predicted model, not a curated record